AGAGUUUGAUCCUGGCUCAGGACGAUCUCUGGCGGCGUGCCUAACACAUGCAAGUCGAGCGAUGAAAGAGAAGUGGCGGUCUUCGGACCAAAGCAUUUCUGGAUUAGCGGCGGACGGGUGAGUAACACGUGAGCAACCUGCCUAUCACAUCGGGAUAGCCUCGGGAAACUGGGAUUAAUACCGAAUGAAACAUAUUGGUAACCUUAUCGAAAUGUCAAAGAUUUGUCGGUGAUAGAUGGGCUCGCGUCUGAUUAGCUAGUUGGUGAGAUAAAAGCCCACCAAGGCAAUGAUCAGUAGCCGGCCUGAGAGGGUGAUCGGCCACAUUGGGACUGAGACACGGCCCAAACUCCUACGGGAGGCAGCAGUGGGGAAUAUUGCACAAUGGAGGGAACUCUGAUGCAGCGACGCCGCGUGAGCGAAGAAGGAAUUCGUUUCGUAAAGCUCUGUCCUAUGGGAAGAUAAUGACGGUACCUCUCGAACAAGCCCCGGCUAACUACGUGCCAGCAGCCGCGGUAAUACGUAGGGGGCAAGCGUUGUCCGGAAUUACUGGGCGUAAAGCGCGCGUAGGUGGCUUGUUAAGUCAGGUGUCAAAAUGCGGAGCUCAACUCCGCAGCGCACUUGAAACUGGCAGGCUUGAGUGCAGGAGAGGAAAGUGGAAUUCCUAGUGUAGCGGUGAAAUGCGUAGAUAUUAGGAGGAACACCAGUGGCGAAGGCGACUUUCUGGACUGCAACUGACACUGAGGCGCGAAAGCUAGGGGAGCAAACAGGAUUAGAUACCCUGGUAGUCCUAGCCGUAAACGAUGGGUACUAGGUGUGGGGGGUGACAAUCCUCCAGUGCCGCAGUUAACGCAUUAAGUACCCCGCCUGGGGACUACGGCCGCAAGGCUGAAACUCAAAGGAAUUGACGGGGGCCCGCACAAGCAGCGGAGCAUGUGGUUUAAUUCGAUGCAACGCGAAAAACCUUACCAGGGCUUGACAUCCUCUGAAGCUGUAAGAGAUUAUAGUGUCCCUUCGGGGCAGAGAGACAGGUGGUGCAUGGUUGUCGUCAGCUCGUGUCGUGAGAUGUUGGGUUAAGUCCCGCAACGAGCGCAACCCUUAUUCUCAGUUGCCAGCACGCAAAGGUGGGCACUCUGAGGAGACUGCCGGUGACAAACCGGAGGAAGGUGGGGAUGACGUCAAAUCAUCAUGCCCCUUAUGUCCUGGGCUACACACGUGCUACAAUGGCCUGAACAACGGGCGUGCGAAGGAGCGAUCCGGAGCAAAUCCCUUAAAUCAGGUCCCAGUUCGGAUUGCAGGCUGCAACUCGCCUGCAUGAAGCAGGAGUUGCUAGUAAUCGCGGAUCAGCAUGCCGCGGUGAAUGCGUUCCCGGGCCUUGCACUAACCGCCCGUCA
RNAcentral lists this ribosomal RNA (1391 nucleotides) under uncultured bacterium. RNAcentral describes it as "bacterial SSU rRNA". It matches the Rfam family "Bacterial small subunit ribosomal RNA". The record is from RNAcentral.